UAGUCAAGACAGAGAUAAGCUUUGGUUUAUCAGAGAUCAGAGUUCAGAUCACUUGUCGAUAAUACUCAUGGAAUAUGCUAAAUAAAUACAUACACAUAUAUAUAUAUAUUUAUGGUAGAAACUACAAAAUGAAUAUGAACUGACCGAAUAAUUAUUUAAUGUAAGUACAUUUUUGAGGUAUAAGUAAGUAAUUAAAUACAUGCUCCACUACACUUCAGGGUACAUUUACACCAGCUACAUAUACCACUCACACUUGCUACAUGCGAUCAACUGAUAAAAUACUUUACAUCAACAGACAACAAAAAUAACAAGACAUAAAAAAAAAAGAUCCAACAAGAUCCUUCCAGUUUGAAUUCAAACUCAAAAACAACCAGAGAUGGAACAUCAUUCAAACAAUGGACUCAAAGUCGUAUCAGACACUUAAUGCAACGUUGACUUAAGGCGAGGCAUGGUUCAUUUUUUGCCAACAUCGCCAAAUGGAAGUCACUCAUGACUCAUGUGGUUGUUUGAUUGUAGCAGCUACAAGCCUCCACACUAUUUAUUUUUCUCCACUGUUGCAUAAAUCAUUUGGACCGCUCUGAAGUUGCAGGUGAAGCGAUGCAAACGCCAGUGGGCCUCACAUGCAUCAGCCAUAAGACAGCGGGAGAGUGAGGAGUACGUAGACAGGAUUAAACCGGUUUAUGAGUCAUCCCAACCAGAAGAACACCCCCCAAAAAAACACUCGGACACACACACACACACACACACAGUGAAAUAGCACAGAAGGCCUCUCUAGGCUUUGGGCCUGGUGCACACAGUGAUGUGUUAAUGGCGGCGCAGGUUUCCUGCUACUUUCACUACACGCCACCAUCACUUCAUCUAUCUGUAACUUUAUAACAGCUUCUUGCACAAUCCUCACGGUCACCAAACCUACAUGUACUUAAACCAAGUAUACUUGUACAGCGUCUUUCUAGUAUCCCGACCGCUCCGAGCGCUUCCCACUUAUAGUACAUCUUAUAAUGACGUGGACAUUGUCCUCAAAAAGAGGACAAGUCCCCGCAAUUUUACUGUGUGCACGGGUUCAUGUCCCACAACACGAGUAAUACAUUGUAGUAAGAUUAGUAAUAUUUUCGUGCACGAUGCCGGUUGAAUUGUGUGUGUGUGUGUGUGUACUGUGUGUUCAGUUUUGACCAAAUCCCUAUGUAAUGUUUAUUCUAAUGAGGUUUCCCCCCCCACGCUGGACUCCCAUGUAACAAAGCCAGAGAUAGUGAAGACAUUUCAAUCUGCAGCAGGGGAGCGUCACUUCGCUGGAAAGUACCUUUCCUUCCCCUCUGAGAAAACCAGCCUUUUACGGGAAUCAGAUCUCAUGAGAACAGAAAAGUAGGACCGAGUGCGCCCUCUCCCCAGGACGGCCAAACCGUUCGCCCGACCACCAGCCGGUUCUCGUUGUAUUUCUUUAUUUCGAUAAGCCGCUCUGAUUAUCGCUAUGUUAACGCAUGCUAAUGCUAAGGCAAUAGUGGGACAUGUGUAUCGGCAUAAAUAAAUAAGCAGAGCGGGUGCGCUCUGUCCGCUGGCUUCCGUCGGUUACCAAAACAUUGCUCAAAUGACCCGUUUCAGACUUAAUCAACAUAGAAUGCCUUUGUGUUCAUUACUAAAGCCUCACAUUAAGACAUACGUCACUUUAUUUAAGACGCUGUGCUACUUGCGAGUGGCUGUGAUCUGCUAGAUUGUCACUAAAGUUAGAAAAAAGCAUGUACGGCAAACCCACGGUCACGAAGAUACUCAUUUAACGUGACAUGGUAUUUGCGUGUCGUUAAAACACCCAACUGAGAUCGACUUAUGCCGUUCUGAAAAAGGAACCUGCCACCGACCACUUUUCGCACUCGGCGUCACUCAGAAAGUAUCCAUUCAACUUUGUUGAUUUCCCGUGUCAGAUUAUUAUUUUACCACGUGAAUACUGUGAUUUGCAUUGAUUUCACUCUCACCGCACCACGCUAGUUUCUGAGUAACAUGUCGGUUCAUCUGGAGACACGCACGUAUCUAACUUGUCGUUACCACGUCUGUUUUAUUCUGGUUUAUUCUCGAUUUUCAAUUGAAUGCCUCAAGUUUGGUUUCGCUUUAGAUCUUUAGUCUUUUCGCGCAAACAUAUUUAAUACUUACCGAUAAGGACGAAGAAGAUCCGUAACUUGCUAUAAAUCAUCUUUAGGCCAAUGUGCGCGGAACUUCAGUUCAGCAGGAUGUUAACAUCUGGCAGCCUUCGAUAGAGUGUUCGGCGAGACGCGGGAUGGGGUGAUUUAUAGCUGCCCGCCUCCUGCAAACCCGUGACAACAGGUUUACCGUAAAUGAUUUUGUUUUAACUCUUGAGAAAUUAACGUCACCACAACACAUGCCGCGCCUUUAAACCAGAUCCAAAAAGGCAGUGGCGGAUCUAGAAAAUUUUACAUGGGGGGGCAAAGGGGUGGCAAGAGGUCUUGGCAGGGUGGCAGGGAUGACGGUACAUAGGAAUCCCUAUAUGUGAAUUGCUUCAACAAAACAAACACAAAAACACUUUUAAACUUAAGGUUUUUAAUUCACAACAUGAAUGAAACAUUUGUUCAAACAAAACAAAGCUGCAAUUUUUACUUUGUCUCAAGAGUAUAAUAGUUAAAAAAAAAAAAGAAGUCAUAUUUACCUGAGCCCUUACUGUCUAACAGGGGGCCUCGGACAUAUCAAAAUUGAAUAAAGUGAUCAAACUGCGUGCACUGCAUAAAUUAUUCAUUAAAUAUAGACUAAUCAUUAUUUAAGCUACAAAAGUUCUUUAGUCAAGAGCAGUAAGAAAUGUUCUGUUGUUUUUGUUCUUAGCUUUACUGACAGAACGCUUUAGUGCAUAGGUCACUAACUGGCGGACCGCGGUCCGGGUCCGGACCCAGAGGCCGUCCCAUCCGGACCCGGACUGCCAGCCAAAACAGAAGGUUGUCAUUUUGACAGACUGACGGCG
Gasterosteus aculeatus aculeatus (three-spined stickleback) is the source of this 2956-nucleotide long non-coding RNA. The record is from Ensembl. NCBI's taxonomy places the organism in Eukaryota, Metazoa, Chordata, Actinopteri, Perciformes, Gasterosteidae.